GAUGAACGCUGGCGGCGUGCCUAAUACAUGCAAGUCGAGCGAACAGACGAGGAGCUUGCUCCUCUGACGUUAGCGGCGGACGGGUGAGUAACACGUGGAUAACCUACCUAUAAGACUGGGAUAACUUCGGGAAACCGGAGCUAAUACCGGAUAAUAUAUUGAACCGCAUGGUUCAAUAGUGAAAGACGGUUUUGCUGUCACUUAUAGAUGGAUCCGCGCCGCAUUAGCUAGUUGGUAAGGUAACGGCUUACCAAGGCGACGAUGCGUAGCCGACCUGAGAGGGUGAUCGGCCACACUGGAACUGAGACACGGUCCAGACUCCUACGGGAGGCAGCAGUAGGGAAUCUUCCGCAAUGGGCGAAAGCCUGACGGAGCAACGCCGCGUGAGUGAUGAAGGUCUUCGGAUCGCAAAACUCUGUUAUUAGGGAAGAACAAAUGUGUAAGUAACUAUGCACGUCUUGACGGUACCUAAUCAGAAAGCCACGGCUAACUACGUG
Molecule: ribosomal RNA, 497 nt
Filed under: uncultured bacterium
Lineage: Bacteria
Description: partial 16S ribosomal RNA
Rfam family: Bacterial small subunit ribosomal RNA
Source: RNAcentral